Molecule: non-coding RNA, 30 nt
Filed under: Homo sapiens (human)
Lineage: Eukaryota; Metazoa; Chordata; Mammalia; Primates; Hominidae
Source: RNAcentral
UGGAAGGGUGUGCUAGAGAUGGGAAAGAGA